GACGAACGCUGGCGGCGUGCUUAACACAUGCAAGUCGAACGAUGAAGAAGAGCUUGCUCUUCGGAUUAGUGGCGAACGGGUGAGUAACACGUGACUAACCUGCCCCUUUCUCUGGGAUAACGCUCCGAAAGGAGUGCUAAUACCGGAUACUCACAUCUAGGCACAUGCCUUGAUGUGGAAAGUUUUUCGGAAAGUGAUGGAGUCGCGGCCUAUCAGCUUGUUGGUGGGGUAACGGCUGACCAAGGCGACGACGGGUAGCCGGCCUGAGAGGGCGACCGGCCACACUGGGACUGAGACACGGCCCAGACUCCUACGGGAGGCAGCAGUGGGGAAUAUUGCACAAUGGGCGAAAGCCUGAUGCAGCGACGCCGCGUGAGGGAUGAAGGUCUUCGGAUUGUAAACCUCUUUCAGUAGGGACGAAGCGAAAGUGACGGUACCUAAAGAAGAAGCACCGGCUAACUACGUGCCAGCAGCCGCGGUAA
RNAcentral lists this ribosomal RNA (482 nucleotides) under uncultured bacterium. RNAcentral's name for it is "partial 16S ribosomal RNA". It matches the Rfam family "Bacterial small subunit ribosomal RNA", at positions 28 to 523 of the family's 1533-position model. The record is from RNAcentral.